UCCGGUUUGACACCGGCAGUCUCCUAUGAGUCCCCGACAUAACUCGCUGGCAACAUAGAACGAGGGUUGCGCUCGUUGCGGGACUUAACCCAACAUCUCACGACACGAGCUGACGACAACCAUGCACCACCUGUACACCGCCCUUGCGGACCCCGUAUCUCUACGAGUUUUCGGUGUAUGUCAAGCCUUGGUAAGGUUCUUCGCGUUGCGUCGAAUUAAACCACAUGCUCCGCCGCUUGUGCGGGUCCCCGUCAAUUCCUUUGAGUUUUAGUCUUGCGACCGUACUCCCCAGGCGGGGCACUUAAUGCGUUAGCUACGGCACGGAUCCCGUUGGUAAGGACCCACACCUAGUGCCCAACGUUUACGGCAUGGACUAC
This 377-nucleotide unclassified non-coding RNA is filed under the name uncultured Actinomycetes bacterium. Its description in RNAcentral is "uncultured actinobacterium contains 16S-23S intergenic spacer region". The record is from RNAcentral. Lineage: Bacteria; Bacillati; Actinomycetota; Actinomycetes.